GCCGAGAUAGCUCAGUUGGCAGAGCAACAUAUUGGUAAUAUGUAGGUCGCCGGUUCAAAUCCGGCUCUCGGCU
RNAcentral lists this transfer RNA (73 nucleotides) under bacterium. Its description in RNAcentral is "tRNA-Thr". It matches the Rfam family "tRNA". Rfam says of the family: Transfer RNA (tRNA) molecules are approximately 80 nucleotides in length. Their secondary structure includes four short double-helical elements and three loops (D, anti-codon, and T loops). The record is from RNAcentral.